CGAUGUCAUUUUGGUUCGUAAUGUUGUAAUUGUCUCACUACGAACCAGAAUGACAUCGCG
This 60-nucleotide microRNA precursor is filed under the name Blattella germanica (German cockroach). RNAcentral describes it as "Bge-Novel-12_pre stem-loop". Lineage: Eukaryota; Metazoa; Arthropoda; Insecta; Blattodea; Blattellidae. The record is from RNAcentral.